Molecule: ribosomal RNA, 253 nt
Filed under: uncultured bacterium
Lineage: Bacteria
Description: partial 16S ribosomal RNA
Rfam family: Bacterial small subunit ribosomal RNA
Source: RNAcentral
UACGUAGGGGGCAAGCGUUGUCCGGAUUUAUUGGGCGUAAAGAGCGUGUAGGCGGCCAAGCAGGUCCGCUGUGAAAACUCGAGGCUCAACCUCGAGACGUCGGUGGAAACCGUUUGGCUAGAGUCCGGAAGAGGUGAGUGGAAUUUCCGGUGUAGCAGUGAAAUGCGUAGAGAUCGGGAGGAACACCAGUGGCGAAGGCGGCCUUCUGGACCAAUACUGACGCUCAUGCACGAAAGCGUGGGGAGCAAACAGG